CUUGUAGGCGGUUUGUCGCGUCUGCCGUGAAAAUCCGGGGCUCAACUCCGGACUUGCGGUGGGUACGGGCAGACUAGAGUGUGGUAGGGGAGACUGGAACUCCUGGUGUAGCGGUGAAAUGCGCAGAUAUCAGGAGGAACACCGAUGGCGAAGGCAGGUCUCUGGGCCACUACUGACGCUGAGAAGCGAAAGCGUGGGGAGCGAACA
This 207-nucleotide ribosomal RNA is filed under the name uncultured bacterium. Its description in RNAcentral is "partial 16S ribosomal RNA". It matches the Rfam family "Bacterial small subunit ribosomal RNA", at positions 568 to 774 of the family's 1533-position model. The record is from RNAcentral.